GACGGAGGAGGCAAGCGUUAUCCGGACUUAUUGGGCGUAAAGGGUACGUAGGCGGCUGGUCAAGUCUGGGGUCAAAGGCCACAGCUCAACUGUGGGAAGGCCCUGGAAACUGGCCGGCUAGAGUGAGGUAGGGGUUGCGGGAAUUCCCGGUGUAGCGGUGAAAUGCGUAGAGAUCGGGAAGAACACCUGAGGCGGAAGCGCGCAACUGGGCCUCAACUGACGCUGAGGUACGAAAGCUAGGGGAGCGAAGGGG
Molecule: ribosomal RNA, 253 nt
Filed under: uncultured bacterium
Lineage: Bacteria
Description: partial 16S ribosomal RNA
Rfam family: Bacterial small subunit ribosomal RNA
Source: RNAcentral